CUAGGCGAUCAUUGGAGCAAUAUUUAGACAGCUCGUCUUAAAUAUAAAGAAAAUACUAUCAUAAACAAGCGUAAUGGCUUUUUUGGGAAGAUGAAAGAUUCAUAUAGUGUGUACAUAAACACCACCCAAAACAUCAAAAAAAAAAAAAUCUCGAAAGGACAUCAGCAAGAUAGACACAUCAGUUUACAUACCACCACUGAAGUGAUCGGCUACAUAACUUGCCAUCCAGUACC
Molecule: long non-coding RNA, 233 nt
Filed under: Elaeis guineensis (African oil palm)
Lineage: Eukaryota; Viridiplantae; Streptophyta; Magnoliopsida; Arecales; Arecaceae
Description: long non-coding RNA (EGUI_LNC006420)
Source: RNAcentral